Heterocephalus glaber (naked mole-rat) is the source of this 103-nucleotide small nuclear RNA. The record is from Ensembl. Lineage: Eukaryota; Metazoa; Chordata; Mammalia; Rodentia; Bathyergidae.
GUGCUUGCUUUUGCAUCACAUAUAUUGAAAUUAGAAUGAUACAGGAUUAGCAUGGCUGCAGUGCAAGGAUGAUGUGCAAAUUUGUGAACUGUUCCAUAUUUUU